This 253-nucleotide ribosomal RNA is filed under the name uncultured bacterium. Its description in RNAcentral is "partial 16S ribosomal RNA". It matches the Rfam family "Bacterial small subunit ribosomal RNA", at positions 524 to 776 of the family's 1533-position model. The record is from RNAcentral.
UACGAAGGGUGCAAGCGUUACUCGGAAUUACUGGGCGUAAAGCGUGCGUAGGUGGUUCGUUAAGUCCGAUGUGAAAGCCCUGGGCUCAACCUGGGAAUGGCAUUGGAUACUGGCGGGCUAGAGUGCGGUAGAGGAUAGUGGAAUUCCUGGUGUAGCAGUGAAAUGCGUAGAGAUCAGGAGGAACAUCCGUGGCGAAGGCGACUGUCUGGACCAGCACUGACACUGAGGCACGAAAGCGUGGGGAGCAAACAGG